CAGUCGCCACGGUAAUACGAAGGGGGCUAGCGUUGUUCGGAUUUACUGGGCGUAAAGGGCGCGUAGGCGGUCUGAUAAGUCAGGGGUGAAAUCCCAAGGCUCAACCUUGGAACUGCCUUUGAUACUGUUUGUCUUGAGUUCGAGAGAGGUAAGUGGAACUGCGAGUGUAGAGGUGAAAUUCGUAGAUAUUCGCAAGAACACCAGUGGCGAAGGCGGCUUACUGGCUCGAAACUGACGCUGAGGCGCGAAAGCGUGGGGAGCAAACAGGAUUAGAUACCCCGGUAGUCCCUGUCUCUUAUAA
This 301-nucleotide ribosomal RNA is filed under the name uncultured bacterium. Its description in RNAcentral is "partial 16S ribosomal RNA". It matches the Rfam family "Bacterial small subunit ribosomal RNA", at positions 509 to 809 of the family's 1533-position model. The record is from RNAcentral.